CCAGCCAAACUAAAGCACUGAAUUGACCCUCAAUAUCUGAUACCAUACAAAACCAUACAAAGCAGAUUGUUCAACUCCAACGUUAUGUAUCCCCCCAUCAUCAACGGCGGCUUACUCGAAAGCGAAUGGAAUAUUAGAUUUAUUGUCUCAAUGGUGGCUUCUGCACUCUUCGGCUCAUGUUAGCAUGUAUAAGAAAGGUGAUGAGAAGGUAGUGAAAGGGUAAAGUUAUACUUACAGCUUUGUUUUCGGAUCCCUGAAAAAAGUGAAAACCAAGUUGAGUUGCAGGCUCACCCCAGUGUCUUGGGGAACCCAUUUUUAUAUCUCAGUUCCCUCCUCCUAACGAUUCAAGAAACGCCAGAAAUACAGGGACAUGCGCAAAGACAGAAGGCCCUUCAACAACGACAGGCAGACGGGCCUGGGAUGGGAAGAUGGAUGUUGUUUUUAGUCAGGGAUAGUCUCUAAUGAUUUCUCUGCAUAAUUUCUAAUGUUCUUCUGCUUCACUCACCUCUCUAUAAGAACCUCUUUAUAUGAUCUUUUCUUUUGAUCUCUUUUCUCUUUCUUUUCUUAAUCAAUUUGUAAACUGUAUUAGAAUAGUACUAAGUCUGUU
Molecule: small RNA, 607 nt
Filed under: Histoplasma capsulatum var. duboisii H88
Lineage: Eukaryota; Fungi; Ascomycota; Eurotiomycetes; Onygenales; Ajellomycetaceae
Description: Histoplasma capsulatum H88 hypothetical RNA
Source: RNAcentral